GUGGACCUGGUGGCACAAGGGGACAGCAUCUACGACCUGCUGGACCCGGCCGAUCACCCCCUGGUGCGGCACCAGCUGAGCCUGCCCGGGCCCCCCCAGGCAGAGCGCCUCUUCCGCUGCCGCUUCACCACCUCCCGCGCCUCACGCCGGCCGAGCGCCGGCCGCAAGCUGGUGCUGCUGCGGGGACGCUUCCAGGACCCCCCCGGGCCCCCCGGUGCCACCCCCGGGCUCUUCGUGGCCUUCUGCGCCCCCCCUUGACCCCCCCCGCCCUGGCCCUGCCCCGCCUGCCUCCUGCUGCCGGCCUUCCCGAGCCGCCCCGCCCGCGACCUCGCCCUGCUGGACAUCUCCGACUGUGUCCUGGUCCACCUGGGCUAUGGCCGUGGGGAGCUCCUGGGCCGCUCCCUGGUACCGCCUGCUGCACCCCGAGGACCUCGGCCACGUUGCCCGCCAGCACCUGCGCCUCGGUCAGUGUUCCCAGGGUCCCCGGGUGUCCAUUGGAUUCUCCAGAGCCCUCGUCCCCUCCUGGUGUCCCUGUCCCCUGAUCCUCCAUGGGGAAGAUGUCCCACCAUGUCCCCAGGGGUGUCCCCCAUCGCCCUGGGAUCCUGCAUGGCCCUGUCCUCAACGUCCCCAUCCCCCUCAAUCACCUCAUCCUACUCAAUGUCCCCAUGUCUCCAACCCACAACGGACACCACUGCUGUCCCCCACAGCCCCAGUUCCCCUCUCUCCCCACCCCCCUGCCCAUCCCCCCAGGCCGUUGCUGUCCCCUCUGAUGUCCCCGUGUUCCCCACAGCUGGUGCAGGCCGGAGGCGCGGGGGGAGGUGGUGACACGGCGGCAGCGCAAGGACGGCCUGGGCUGGACGUGGGUCUACGCCCGGCUGCGCCCUGAGGGGCCGGCCCUGCUCGCCCACAACUUCGUCAUCAGUCAGUGCACACCCAGCGUCAGCGGUCAGCGCCCUUGGAGACACCCAGGUGGCCGCAGACCCCCCUGACCCCUGUGUUCCCCCACAGUGAGGCUGAGGCCUGGUGCCUGCGGCAGCAGCUGGGCGGCCGAAGCCCCCCCAGGCCCCCCAGGAGCCAUUCGGGCCCGGCCUCAGCUUCCCCGGAGCUGGACAGGACCUCGGGGCCGGCACCGGGCCCAGCAUCGACCUCGGCGUGGGGCCCGGCCUGGGCGACGACGUCGGAGCCAACGUUGGCCUCGGCCUUGGGGUCAGCGUCGGGUGUGGCCUUGGAGCCGACGUCGGACACAGCCUGGGAGCCGCCCUAGGCGCCGGUGUGGAGCCCGGCCUGGGAGCUGGCGUUGGGCCCGGCCUUGGGGCCAGCAUCAGACACGGCCUGGGAGGCAACGCCAACGGCCACCGUUGACCCCGGCCUUGGGACUGGCGUUGGACCCAGGUCUUGAAAGCCGCCAUUGGGACACGGCCUUGGUGCCAAUACUGCGGCCACCACUGACCCCGGCCUUGGAACUGGAAUCGGACACGGCCUCGGAGGUAACACCGCGGCCACUGUUGACCCUGGCCUUGGGACUGGCGUUGGACCCGGCCUUGGGACUGGCAUCGGACACGGCCUGGGAGGCAGCACUGCGGCUACUGUUGACCCUGGCCUUGUGGCCGGCGUGGCACCGAACGUUGGCCACGCUCUUGGAGACACUGUUGGCCACAGCCUCGGCUCAGACAACCGGCAUCGGCCUCGGCGUGGGAAGCGGCAUCAGAGUGGACGUUGGGCUGGGCGUGGCGGCCGGAGCCAAUGUGGGCCCCACCCUCGGGGCUGAUCUCGGAGCCGCCCUCGGAGCUGGGGACGACAUCGGAGCCACUGGCGGGGCUGAGGUGGCCCCGGGCAUCGGGGCGGGAGUGGCCCUCAGCAUCGGCGCCAACAUCGGGCCCAGCCUGGGCGGCAGCGCCAUCAGGGCCAGUGUCGGGCUGGGCAUCGGCACCACUGUCGGCCCCACGCUGCCCCCGGACAUUGGAGUGACUGUUGGGGCCGGAGUCAGUGCCGGGGUCGGCCUUGGCCUCGGUGCCAACGUUGGAGGCGGGCCUGGAGUUGGACUCGGCCUUGGAGCCGCCCUCGGAGCCAACGUGAGCUCGACUCUUCCGUCUGGUGCCAGGCCCGGCGUGGGACUGGCCGUGGGCGCCACCGUGGGAGCCAACGCCAGCUCUGGCCUCGGACACAACAUUGGACUCACCGUCGGGGCUGGUGUCAGCUCCGGCCUCGGACUCGCUGUGGGAGCCAACGUGGGCUCCGGCCUCAGCUCCGGAGUUGGACUCACAGUCGGAGCUGCCCUCGGGCCUGAGAUGGACAUUGGCCUGGGAGUCGGGGCUGCUGUUGGCACCGCUCUUGCACCAGACAUCGGCCCCACUGCUGGACUCGCCUCAGCUCUGACCCUGGCUCGGACAUUGGCGUUGGCCUGGCGGUCGGAGCAGCCAGCAGCUCUGGCUUGGGUUCCGCACUGGGCUUCGCCGUGGGAGCCGCGCUCGGAGCGGGCACCUGCCCCGGCCUGGGGCCAGACAUCGGCGCUGACCCCGCUCUCACUGACCCCAGCCUCGGACUGGGGUCCGCCUCAGCCUUGGCCCUGGCGCCGGCCCUCGGGAGCCAACCGUGGCCCCCCUGGGCCCCCCACUCGGCCUCGGCCUCGGCGUCCGCCUGGCGCCGGGGCUGGGGGUCCCCGAGACCCCGGGGGGGGCACCGAGACCUGGACGCCGCCCUACACCCCCCGACAGGCCCCCCCCUUUGCCUUCGGGCCCCCGGAGCCCCCCGAGGCCACGGCCGAGAAGCUCCCGCCGAGCCCCGAGAGCCCCGGGGGGGUCUCCAGGGGGACCCCCGGUUUCUCUGCUGACCCCCGAGACGUCGCCGCCAGCCGCCGCCGUCCGCGACCCCCGCGGGGCCCGCCCUGCGCCGGCUGCUCCAGGGCUUGGCCGCCGCCGCCAUCGCCACCCGGGGGGGCCCCCGGCGCUCCUCGGGGGGGACUCCCGGCCCCCGGCUGGUCCCCCCGCCCCGGUCGCCCCGCGACCCCUUCUCUGAGUUGUAUCAACUCCCCCAGAGGCCGCCUCCAGGACGCCUUCCGCAAAGCCGGAAGCCAGCGCGCCCCGUCGUUCUGAACUAAGACUGUGACGCGACUUGCCCCCAGUAUGGCAUAUUGUCAUUGUCACCCCGGCCCGGAGCCAGCGCCCCCCGGCCCGGCCGCCCCCCGCCGCCCCCCCGGGGCCGCUCGUGCUAAUUUAACUCGUAACGAGUCUCUAAGGUAAUUGGGGGGGGGCUGGUGGCCCCCCCUCCCCCAGCCCGGACGCUUGGGGACCGUCCCUCGGGUCCCCUCCCUCCCCCCCGUCCCUGCCCCCCCCCACGCCACGACCCAAAUUUGGGGAUUGUCCCUUGUCGCCAAAAUUUUUUUGGGUCGCUGGGUGGGGGCUUGGACCCACCUGUAGGAGCCUGUGGCCCCCCCUUGCCCCCCCCGAGUGUCCUUGUCCCUUGUCACCCACCUCGUCCCUGUCACCCCUCACCCCCCCACCUCGGGGUCUGCAUUUUUGGCAGAGUCGCCCCCAAAAUUGUGGUCCCCUCCCCGCCCCUGUGGGUGUCAUCCUCAAUGUCCCAACGUGGGGGACCAAGGCACGAUGUGGCUUGAUGUCCCCAGUGUCCCCAGUGAUGUCCCCCAACGUCCCCGCCGAGCCAUGGGGCUGAGGCACAAUGUGCUCGAUGUCCCCAGUGUCCCCAACCAGUGACCUGAUGUCCUCAUUGUCCCCAACAUGGGGGACAUCAACACCGCUUCCCCCAAGCCAUUGGGCUGGGACAGGUCAUGGCUCGAUGUCCCCAAUGUCCCCAACAUCCCCCAAGGGACCGCGAGACAUCGUGGCCUGAUGUCCCCGACGUCCCCAACUUCCCCAACUUGAGAGACUGAGACACAUCAUGACUCAGUGUCCCUGAUGUCCCCAACGUCCCUGGUGUCACCCAAUGCCCCCGAUGUCCCCAAUGUCCCCAACGCCCCCACUCCCACCCCGAGAAACGUCGCAGCGCGAUGUCACCGAGCCCAAGGCACCGAGACCCGGCACAACUCGAUGUCCCCAACGUCCCUGAGGGACACGGGCACCUCAUCACCGCUGUGACCCCUGGGACCGAGACGUCCCCAACGUGUCCCCAGCGGAACGCCACCUGAAUGGACUGAGAUGACCCAGCCUGACGUCCCCAAUGUCCCCGAGGGACGUGGGCACCUCGUGACCGCCUCAGCUGGAGGGACCGAGACAACUCAUGGCCUGAUGUCCCCAAUGUCCCCAAGGGACGAGGGACCUGCUCAUCGUCACCCUGGAUCAAAGAGACUGAGACACCCAAUGUCUCCAAUGUCCCCAACCCCACGGACUGAGACUUGUGACCUAACGUCCCCAGUGUCACCGAUGUCCCUGAAGGAUGUGGGACAUCGUCACCACCCCGGGUCAAAGGACUGAGACCCCCACGCCCUGAUGUCCCCAAUGUCACUGAUGUCCCCAAAGGAUGGAGGACAUUGUCAUCGUCCCAGCUCAAGGACCGAGCCCCACCAUGUACCCCAAUGUCCCCAACAUGGGGGACUGGCCCCUGCUGUCCCCAACGUCCCCCACAUCCUCAGCCGAGGGACAGACAGGGGGUGGCCCCACAGCCCCCGUGUCCCCAAUGUCCCCAGUGUCCCCUGGAGGCCCUGUGGCCCUGACAAUAAAAGUGUCCCCCACGGUCCCCGUGCCUGUGGCAGCUUCUUCCCAGGGA
Molecule: long non-coding RNA, 4719 nt
Organism: Corvus moneduloides (New Caledonian crow)
Lineage: Eukaryota; Metazoa; Chordata; Aves; Passeriformes; Corvidae
Source: Ensembl